This 3629-nucleotide long non-coding RNA is filed under the name Homo sapiens (human). RNAcentral describes it as "HSALNT0268770". Lineage: Eukaryota; Metazoa; Chordata; Mammalia; Primates; Hominidae. The record is from RNAcentral.
CUGGAAAGACGGAGUUGCCACCAAUUGAGAUGGAGGCUAUAGGAGGAGCAGGCAGUUUGUGCAAAGGGGAUGGGGGAAUCCCUAUAACUCCUGUGCAGGGAUGUGAGGGUCAAGAAGGCACUGUGGGUGAAGCAUCUCCCAUGCCUGACCUUCUCCCACCUCUUCCUGCACCUGACUGCUAGGCUCAGGUCUCUGUCCUCCACCCCUUCCUCAGAUAGGCCUGCCUUCCCCAUUGCCUAAAAUGUCCCCAUGCCACCCACGGUGCCCCAUCAUCCUGCCUCAUUUUCCUCCCAGCACUUAAUCUUCUCUGAAAUAACCAUAUUCUUUGAUUGCUUUUGGUCCUGUGUUUUCCCAACACCGAGAAAGGCUCUCACAAUCUCUAGAUUUGCACAAAGGUGGGGCUUUCUCUGUUUUUAUUUGAUUUUUUGUUGUUUUAUUUUUUAAGUUUUGUUUUCUUUUUUGACUCCGCAAGGGUCUGGGCAGUGCCUGGCCCACAGUAGACUCCUAAGAAGUGUUCACUGAGGGGCAAUUAGGAGGUGCUUAGUGGCUGCACCAGACCUUCAGCAUCCUAGACCCCUGGCUCUGACACUUACUGCUUAAGAAUCACCAGGGCCACUUACUGAAAAUGUACAAUCCUGAGAGCCGGACUUACUAAGUCUGGGUUUGGACUUGGAAACAUGCAUUUUUAACAAGAUCUCCACUGGGUUCUGAUGCCAGUGUCCUGGAGGGGGCCACACUUCAUGAUAAGCUAUCAUCCCAACCCACUCAGGGAAUGGCAUGGAGUCCAGAAUUGCUAUUGGAACACUGCCCUCCUCGGAGGCUCCUGCCUGCUGGAGGCGUGGUGGCCUGAUGAUUGGCAUCACUCCUGUAGCUUGAGGGUCCAGAGUGUGGACUCACAUGGCGCUUCAGACCCUUCUCUGAAGCCUGACUCUUUGGGGGCAGUGCUGCAGAUUGACAAAGGGUGUUUCUGCACAGGCCUGACUCACACAACACUGGAAUGGGCCGGGAAGGAGCCUCCCGGCCAGACGCCCACUUUGGUACCAGCCCUGGGUUAUGUAACUCCAGAUGCCUGUGACUAACCCAUGGCCCCGAGGGCAUCUCUGGGUGGGGAAAAGAUGAGGGCUGACUUCUCCAGAAUUUAAAACGAAACAUCUCAGGACUAUUUAUAAAAGCACAGGACACACUAGGGGGAAGUUCAGAUAAAGGCCGUGGAGGGGUGCAGACAAGGAAAGGGAACCAGGAGGUGUACUUGCAAACUUGACCUACUAAAGGCAUGGCUUCCAGAGCUCUGAGGACAGUUGACCUUCAAAACAACGAUUGACCUUGGGGAAAGGAUGAGUCACAGAGGCUCCAGGGCCUGGUUCCUGCUGGCAGAGCUUCCAGCCUCUGAGUCCCAGAGUGUUCUCUCCUAGGAGUGAAACAUGUACUUGGUAGAUGUCGGCUGCCUCCACCAAAUGCAAAAACGCAUCUCAUCCUGUGAGCUGACCUUGCUGGGGUGAGGUCUACUUCUUGGGGAAGACCCUGGGCUGCUAACUGGGUCUUGGCUGGUCCUAGGUUUGUGGCAACCAGUAGUCACUGGAUCCAUCGAUGAGAAUAAAUCUUGUUGGCAUGUGGAGACAAGGCCAGGUAGAAGCAGAAGUCAGAGGGCCAGGAGGCAGGUAGGCCCCUGUCUCUAUGUUAACUCAUGCCAAGCCAUAAUGGCAGCUCACGUUGAUGGAGCUGUCCAUGUGCCAGCCCCUGCCUGAAGUGCCCGCAAUCAUCUCUCGCUUUUCUUCGAUAACGGAGUGAGAGGGAAGAGCACGGGGCUGAGAAUCAGGGGGCCCAGAUGGAAGACCCACUCACCGCUAAAUUGUUGGGGGGCCUGGGAUGACUUAUUACAAUAUUAAUAAUGACCACAGCAAUGACUACAGCCCCAUUCAUUGAGCACUCGGCACUCAUCAUCUCAUUAAGCCUUGUCCUGCAAUGCCAGAGGCUUUGGAAUCAGAGCUGGAGUUUUGGAAUCAGACAGAGCUGGAGUUCAAGGAAGAGCUCUGACACUUAUGAGCUAGCAACCUUGAACGCAUCAUUUAACCUUUAGGGGCUCAAAAACAGCCAUUGUUUAUUCAUCUCACAAAUAUGCAGUCUGGGCAAGGCUUGGCAGGAACAGCUUAUGUCUGACUUUAUGUGGUGUCAGCUAGGGUGGCUUGCAGAAAAGCUAGCAACCAAAAUCCCCGAAGGCUCACUCACUCACAGAUGAUGCCGAUGCCAAUACCAAUGACGAUGGUGAUGCAGAUCAUGAUGCAGAUGGUGAUGCACGUGCUGAUGCAGGUGCUGAUGCUGAGGCAGGUGCUGAUGCAGAUAAUGAUGCAGAUGCUGAUGCAGGUGCUGGUGCUGAUGCUGAGGCAGAUAUGAUGCAGAUGCUGGUGCAAAUGCUGAAGCAGGUGUUGAUGCAGAUACUAAUCUGACGCAGCUGCUGAUGUUAAAGCAGGUGUUGAUGCUGAUGCAGGAAUGAGUUUGAUUUGAGAAGCGGAUUCCUUCUCCCCGGGAAAGGCACAAAGUUUUCUUUCCAAGUGCAGGUUGAAACUAACUCCUGGUGAAGAAGCUCACGGCACCAUCCAGCAUGGCACCGUCUGGGAGUCGUUUUUGAUUAGAAGUUGACCUCAGAAAUAUGCUCACAUCAUUUUGAAAGCAUCUUCCAGCACCACAGAAAUCGACUCAGAUGGAGAAAGGACACUGAGUGGACAGGGGCCAGGAUGGGGCGUGGACGCUCUGCCUCUGCCGGGGACAAGGCCUUCCCACAGACUCCCUGGGGUGUUGCCAGCCUGAGUCAGAGAUAUUGAUGUAAUGCCUACCGUGUUCCAGACACGCUGCGAGGCCCUGGGGAUGCAGCCACAAUCCCAACAGAUCUGAUGCCUGCUCUCAUGGAACUGACUUUGCACUGGGGGGAGGCCAACUCCACGAAAACAGAAACUGGAUGACACAUUGGAGGGAGAGCAGUAAAAGGAGCAAGCAGAGAGCAAGAACAACAGUGUUGCCAUGGGGCGGGUGGGCCCGCUGUAGCCAGGGAGGGCCUCUCCGAAGGUAUAACAGUGCCUUGCUGAAUUCACUCCCACGACCCCUCCAUGCUUGGGUCAGGAUGCAUGAACCUGAAAGCACAUGAAGUCCUCUCUGGGAUCUUCUGCCUUUGGUCCUAACUGUUCUCAGGGGGAAGCGACUCUGAAGGCCAAGAGAGUCAACUCCAGAAGAAAACCCCUACUAGAUGCAAGAAGAAUGGGCAUCGCUAACCAGCCCGUUUGCUGAUGUAUGGCCCCUAUACUUUCGUUGGUUUCCUGGUUUCUCUUUGCAGGCAAUUAUUUAACCCUGUGAUGGAACAAAGCAGCCAGGAAGCAGUAGGGUUGGCCGUGGGUUGGGGCUGGAGUCUUAGCAGUCAGCCUGGAGGAGCUGCGGGCUCAUGUCAGCACUCUGGGAGAAAUGAGCAAGCUUUUGGGAGGAGGAAGGCAAAUCCAUCCUCACCCGGGCUGUGAGCAUGCCACUGGGCUCGAGGCGAAUGGGGAGGAAAUCAAAGUGUCAGCUCGUGUUAGGAAACCGCACAUGAUGCUUCCCAGUCCUGGCCGUGCUUUUAAAAAUUAGCCAAAUAAAAAUGGUUGAAG